GACGAACCGUGCGAACGUUGUUCGGAAUCACUGGGCGUAAAGGGCGCGUAGGCGGCCUGAUAAGUAGGGGGUGAAAUCUUGCGGCUCAACCGCAAGGCUGCCUUCUAAACUGUCAGGCUGGAGCACGGUAGAGGCAGAUGGAAUUCCCGGUGUAGCGGUGGAAUGCGUAGAGAUCGGGAAGAACACCAGUGGCGAAGGCGGUCUGCUGGGCCGUUGCUGACGCUGAGGCGCGACAGCGUGGGGAGCAAACAGG
RNAcentral lists this ribosomal RNA (253 nucleotides) under uncultured bacterium. Its description in RNAcentral is "partial 16S ribosomal RNA". It matches the Rfam family "Bacterial small subunit ribosomal RNA", at positions 524 to 776 of the family's 1533-position model. The record is from RNAcentral.